RNAcentral lists this ribosomal RNA (465 nucleotides) under Vreelandella stevensii. RNAcentral's name for it is "partial 16S ribosomal RNA". It matches the Rfam family "Bacterial small subunit ribosomal RNA", at positions 338 to 795 of the family's 1533-position model. Lineage: Bacteria; Pseudomonadati; Pseudomonadota; Gammaproteobacteria; Oceanospirillales; Halomonadaceae. The record is from RNAcentral.
CCUACGGGGGGCAGCAGUGGGGAAUAUUGGACAAUGGGGGGAACCCUGAUCCAGCCAUGCCGCGUGUGUGAAGAAGGCCCUCGGGUUGUAAAGCACUUUCAGUGAGGAAGAACGCCUGGUGGUUAAUACCCAUCAGGAAAGACAUCACUCACAGAAGAAGCACCGGCUAACUCCGUGCCAGCAGCCGCGGUAAUACGGAGGGUGCGAGCGUUAAUCGGAAUUACUGGGCGUAAAGCGCGCGUAGGUGGCUUGAUAAGCCGGUUGUGAAAGCCCCGGGCUCAACCUGGGAACGGCAUCCGGAACUGUUAAGCUAGAGUGCAGGAGAGGAAGGUAGAAUUCCCGGUGUAGCGGUGAAAUGCGUAGAGAUCGGGAGGAAUACCAGUGGCGAAGGCGGCCUUCUGGACUGACACUGACACUGAGGUGCGAAAGCGUGGGUAGCAAACAGGAUUAGAUACCCGUGUAGUC